Molecule: ribosomal RNA, 659 nt
Filed under: uncultured archaeon
Lineage: Archaea
Description: bacterial SSU rRNA
Rfam family: Archaeal small subunit ribosomal RNA
Source: RNAcentral
UUCGCCCUUCGGUUGAUCCUGCCGGAGGUUACUGCUAUCGGUGUUCGACUAAGCCAUGCGAGUCAAAUGUUCUUCGUGAACAUGGCGGACUGCUCAGUAACACGUGGAUAACCUGCCCUUAGGUUUGGCAUAACUCCGGGAAACUGGAGAUAAUUCCGAAUAGGUCAAAUAUGCUGGAAUGCUUUUUGGCCAAAAGACCUCGGUUGCCUAAGGAUGGAUCUGCGGUCUAUCAGGUUGUAGUGGGUGUAACGUACCUACUAGCCUACGACGGAUAUGGGUUGUGAGAGCAAGAGCCCAGAGAUGGAUUCUGAGACAUGAAUCCAGGCCCUACGGGGCGCAGCAGGCGCGAAAACUUUACAAUGCGGGAAACCGCGAUAAGGGGACACCGAGUGCCAGCAUUUAUGUUGGCUGUCCACAUGUGUAAACGGCAUGUGUUAGCAAGGGCCGGGCAAGACCGGUGCCAGCCGCCGCGGUAACACCGGCGGCCCGAGUGGUAAUCACUUUUAUUGGGUCUAAAGGGUCCGUAGCCGGUUUGAUCAGUUCUUCGGGAAAUCUGACAGCUCAACUGUUAGGCUUCCGGGGAAUACUGUCAGACUUGGGACCGGGAGAGGUAAGAGGUACUACAGGGGUAGGAGUGAAAUCUUGUAAUCCCUGUGGGA